RNAcentral lists this long non-coding RNA (42878 nucleotides) under Capsella rubella. RNAcentral describes it as "long non-coding RNA (CRUB_LNC004066)". Lineage: Eukaryota; Viridiplantae; Streptophyta; Magnoliopsida; Brassicales; Brassicaceae. The record is from RNAcentral.
AAUCUAAUAAGGUUUAAAGUUGAAGGAAGGAAAUCAUUGAUGAAAGAGAGGUUCAAUUCAAGUUGUAUAAGUUCUUGAAAAUAUGCUCAUGAUGUUUACGUAAAACAAUUUAGGCCAGUCAGAAUAUAUAAGAGUUUAGAGCUAAAAGCUUUAAAAACAAUAUAUAAAGAAGUCUGCAUCGGGAAGAGAAAGAUAUAUAACCUUGGUGGCUGAUCAGGUGAAGAACACUUGAUGAUCGGAGAUUACUUUGUUGAACAAUCGAUCGAACAUGGUUAUGGAGAAAAAGAUGUAUUUAUAAAUAAUGGGAGAAUUUUUCUUGAUAAUUCAAUACAAGUAUUGUGUCACAACUCUAAAUUUCUACCAACAACGACCAAGUGUAUAUUCCUUUUUUUAUAUACAUGAAUACCGAUUCCUAGGGGAAAUCUUAUAUACAAGCAUUUUCAAAACUUGGAGUUUAAGCUAUUCCGGAUAGAUUUUGGAACUAUUCCGGAUAAGUUUAUAAACUCUCAUAAAUAAAAAAAAUGUGAGACUUGGAGUUAUGAAACUUGGUCUGACAAAAUCUGACUGGCUUGAGAAGUCAUAUCUUGGCAUGAAGGCUUCUUUGUAUAACAAAGGAUUUGACUUGUGUAUUCUUUUCGGACGGCUAGACCUGGUUCCCCAAACACUAGUAUAUAACAAUCUCAAAAUAAGUAUAAAAAGACAAUACUCUUUUUAUUUUGUGUGUACUAAACUGCAAUCAAAUUGCAUGUCGUGGACUUCUUUGUAGUCUUAUAUAUUUAUAGGUAAAGUUGGAUUUGCAGCAAGACUAUUACAUCAAUAGUAAAAGUAUGAUUCAAGAUUUGAAAUAUACAUUGAAAGCUCUACAAAGACCUGAGCCAGAGUAAAAGAGGGUUGUUGUGGUCAUUGUGAUACUGUUCUGAAUCUAUCAAAGAUUUUGAACAAAGAAAGUUGCACCCAACCAAACUCAUUAGCUCUCUGUCUUUUAUUUAUAUUGGUUUGAUCUCAUGUAAACUUCACAUGAGAGUUGCUUUUAAGGAAGAACAACCCUCAAACGAUUUUUUCUAUGAUUAGUAGAUAAAUUAAAAGGUGACAAUGAGAUUAAUUUACAUUCUUUUAACAAUUAGUUUUUACCAAUGAUCAUGAUUCAUCAGUUCUGGCUACGCCUGCAGGUCAUAUUGACCCAAACAUGAACUUCUAUCAUCUAAUAUGCUUUUUCUGCCUAACUACAACAAACAACAAAUGAAACAUAUCCUUCAUUAAAAAUCACCUAACCCGGUUCCGCUUUCUCCCCAUCAGUGCAGGAGAAUCGAGUCCUCGAUUUGCUUGUCUACCGUCCUUUUUUCUCUCUACCGCCGCUCCCUUCUUACCAGCUGCUGAGGAUUUCACAGCAGAAACUGGUAAAUCCGUAACAGACCUUUUGUUACCCCUGCUUGUAGACUUUGCCAUAUCUUUCACAACCGUUUUAAGAGGGUGCGCCCCAGUUCUUGGUUUUUUAGCUGCCAGGCUCAUUCGGACAGCAGGAGAUGUAGAUUUCUGAGGAAGAAUGGGAACCUUUGUGCUUGUAGUAAUGCUGCUGCUACGAUGAGGAGGAUGAUCUUCUGUCAAAUAGUGUCUCAGAGACUUGGUAACAAUGUCUCUAAGGGACACCGCGGAUUUGUAUUCACGAGUGUUCUUAGAGUAAAAUAUAGCUGCGUUAUUCGCCACCAAAAGAAAGUCCCUAAAGAGUUCUUUGGCUGAAGAUAUCGAACAACCGUUGAUCCUUGAUUGUAUUGUGUCUAAAUCCAUAUGCCUCUGUACCAGUUUCUUGUAUCUUCCCCUUUUCUGUUCAAUACAAAAAAUAGACAAGAGAGGAAAUAAGCGAAAAAGGCGGUUUCAUGGUAAGACUAAAAAGCUCACCAUAUUAUGAUCAUUACCUGGCUAUCAAGCCGUCUACGAAAGACAAGUGCACAUUCGUUCUGUGCAAUAGAAUUGUAUAUCUUCAUAAGCUCCUUGGGUAGAGCCAAACCAUGACCUCUGCUUUGGCUGUUGCUAGUAGAAGCAGGUUCUUUACACCUAGAAAUGCUAGCAAUAUCCGCAGAAGUAUCCAACAAAUCGCUUUCUUCCACAGCGCUAACUUCCGUCACUUCUUUACCAACACUGCAAUCUUUUCGUUUUCUCUUGCCUCGUUUCUUCCUCAUACUCGGAAGCACUUGUCCUCCUCCGUACACAGAUUCGAAAAUGUCGCUGUGUAGUAUGCUUUUCGUCUUCUCUUGCUCUACUACUGCUGGUGCUUCUGACUUAGCUUCAGGUGACCAGUUUGUUGUGAUCAGUUCUUGCUGUGUGAAACUACCAACUGAUGACAAGUCUUUGGAUGUAUCUUUGCUCGUGCAUUCUCCUCCACCUUCGGAUUUAGGGGAAGGCUCGAGUGAUAACGUUCGACUAGAAUCAUAAUUGUUUUGUUGACAUUCAUCAUUACUUUCUGACUUCAGACUCUGUAGCUUUGAUUCCAAAGACCUGAAAAACAGAAUAUCAUCGCAACCAAUCGCAACAUUUUAACUCCGGUUUUUCCAUUGAUUGUCGGAAACGUUUACGACAUUUGGAAGAACUUUGCAAUUAGAAACAAGUGCUAACCCAAUAGAGUCUUCGGAUUUUAGUAAAGCUGCCUUAAGCUCAGCUACUCGUUUCUUCUUCAGCUCUUCAAACCAAGCUCUACAAGAACAUAAACAUAUAGAAACUACAGAUAAUCAAUCGUAGUAGGUCAUUAAACUCCUGUAUCAGACAAGAAGAAACAAAUCUUUACUUGCAUCCCAAAUAACGUUUCCGCAAGUCCUUGUACUUGGCCUUGCAUAUCUGCAAAUAAGGAAAUAGGAUUUAGCAUAUUCAAAAGAAAAGACAAUAUCAAGAAAUGACCAAACUCAGCCUGCAAUAUAUCAAAAACCACAAGACAAUGUUCGAAUAGUGUCUAUAGUAGUCUAACAUGAACAGGAGAAUCAAAACAAUGUGUACUUGACCCUAAAAGCUUUCUUGACACACAAGCGAUGAAUCUAAUGCUUCUAAAUCCACCGACAACACCACUGUUGUUUGUUCUAUCUUAAAUUUUUUACCUUCUUUUUUUUCAAAUUUUAAAAAUUAGUUUCAUAAUACAUAGAAUUUUCUUUAAAUGACCUAACCUAAUUAUCAUAUUUUUUUAUAAGAUUCCGACAUUAAUCUUAUCGAAAACAUCAAAUAAUUAAAUUAGAAAUUUAAGGGGAAACGAGGAGAUUGAGAGAGAGACCCCAAACCUCAGGUGUGAAAAUCUCAGGUAAAGAAUGAGAACGGAGCUCGUCGGCGACGACGGUCCAAUCACCGGUUCCAUGACGGAGAACAGCACCGCCGAGAAGAAGCUCCUCCCAUGUUCCCCAAUCACUCUCCAUCGUCGUCGUCACCAUCAUCAUCAUCAUAAACAAAUAAAAAUAAAAAUCAAAUCACGCGUGUCCCUUACGCGCUUCUCGGUUUUGAAAAAAAAACCCAAAAUUAAACUACGCAUCCAAAAGCGCACGUUAGCGUCUUUCCACCUAAUCUAUUUUUCUCUCUCCGACCACUCAAUUUCUCAAACCAGAGAGAGAGAGACAGAGACAGAGACAACAAACCAAAGAACCUAAAAAAAAAUUAAAUUAAUUUUGGUAAUCUGGUAUGAUAAGACAAGAAGCUAAGAAAAGCCGUUUCGAGUGGGUUUGUGUCGGAGGUUAUUACACGAUAAAGCUGUAUUCCGACAAGAAAAAAUGAGAGAUGAAAAAAUCUAAAAAUCAAAAUUAGUAAAGAAGGAAGAAAGGAAAAAAAAAAUCAGAGGUGGGAGAGAAAAGGGUUGACGAGAAGGGUCUUUCUAACUUAAGCUCGACGUUUUGUGAAAAUGGAGAAAAAUUGAUGGUUGUGGUUUUGUUGUUUUAUUUUGUUUUUCUUGUUUUGUUCAAAAAGGCAAAUAAGAAAGAAGAAGAAGAAGAUUGGUUUGUUGUUUUUUUUUGAACAAAGAAGAGACUUACGACUAGAUUUGUGUGCCUUUGUUUUUUCUCCCUAAAUAAAGUAAUUUUAUUUUUAUAAACAGAAUUUUUCUUUUAUAUUUCUUUAUUAUUCGUCAUUACCACAACAACUUGUUUAGAAUAUAUUUUUUUAAUUUUUAUUUUUAGAACAUUAGUGUUUUUUUAAUAUCAUAAUCCAAAACUGAUUUUAGAAUUGAAUAGUUUCAUCGAGAAUAAUACAAUGAACGAUGUUGCUGACAAAAAGAAGAAUUAUUUAUAUAUUUAUCAUUCGUUUAAUCGAUGGCCUAAUAUUGGAUGAUGACUAAUUUAUUCAGUAACCAAACUGAAAAAUAAUCAAUCACUAGAUUUAAAUUUUUAAAAUUAAAUAUACCUCUUCACUAAAUAUAUAUUAAAUCUCUAAUCAUCAUAAAAUCUAAACUAUUUUUAGAAAUAUUAAUUGGAUUCCAGAUUAGCUGCUUCUUUUGUCUGUCCCAUUAUUUAAAAAGACAGAGAUGUUUCUUCGUUAAUCUACUUCCUAAAUUUGAGAUUGAAGAACACUAAAUAUUCAAUAACAAAGACUCUAAUCAUGUGUACUAACCUCUAUUGGAAAUUAUGUCAAUAUCACAUUUGGUAUAUGAAAAACGUAUAUUUGAUAAGUCUAUUUCCUUAACCUUUAAAUGACAUGACCAAUUCCAAAUAUUAGAUAUAAGUCGGAGGACCAAAAGUAGUAGAUUGCCAAAUAUAAUUCAUAUACCGAUGGUGUCUUCUCAUUAGGAUUGCAUAUUACAUUCACAUGGAGAGAGACAUUGUAAUUGAUAUUUUAGCUAAACAUUUGAGAUUUCGCUGAAUCAAUAAUCUAAAGAAGCACAACAACUUCAAUCCCCAAGAGAUUGAUUGAUUUACAGCAUAUACCGAUUGUUCGCAGAGUGUUUUCCGUGUUCUUCCUGGGCGACUAUCUCACAAAAUCCGCCAAAAGAAACUGUGACUGAUCGAUGAGUCUUCAAUGCAACAGAUGGAAAAUCGCCGGAAGGAACAUGAAGACAGUUUCUUCAUAAUGUACAGAUUGGAAAAAUCACGGAGAGGCCUGAAUCCGAAAAUCUGAAUCUGGAGCUAUGGUGUUUGAAGAACUAGGUUUAGUUCUUGAGCCUUUCUUGCUAUGAGACCACCUCGCCUGUUUUCAGAUGAAAGAGAGCGACGACAAGAGGGAAAAAUUUAGACAACCGAAAGCAAACACGGAUUAACAAGAGCUAGAAUGGUUCAGAACUUGACAUUGAUGAUUGAGAAUUAAGUUUUAGAUGUUAUAGAAGUAUUCUUUUACCUUGUGAGUAGUGGAAGAAUCUUGUGAACCUUUUGCAAUUCAGCAGAACAACUUUGGCAGAUCUGUAACCUGCAUUUUCACAAUAUCAUAUUGUCAAUAUGUUUUACUAAUAGUGUAGCAAAAGGUGUGGCAUGAAUAUAUAAGAGGAGCAGAAAUGAUAAGUACCUUUCUUCUGCAUGAAGAUCAACGCCAACAACUCGUCGUGCUGAAACAGUUGAUUGUAUUACUGUACCAAACACUGCUACAAGCUUCAAGAGCAUUUCCAAGGAGACAUUUACAGGCCUAAACAAAUUAUCAAUUUCCUCUGUUACGUCAAAAGCUCAUAAUUUUAUCACAAGAACAGAGACACUAACAAAUGUAUUUUCUUGCCAUGCCCUUAUUCGCAAGCCAAAUCAUGAAGAUCACUUUAUUUAUAUCUCAAAGUCAAAUCAAACCAAAGUCUUAAGGUUGAGUAUAUAAUAAGAUAACUUACCUCUCAGUCCUGCUGCCCAACAAGCCUGUGAGGACGGGUGCUAACUGAGAAAACAGAUCCAAUGUUAAAAUCUCUGUUUUGUCAGUCAGAAUACUGAUCACAUCUGCUUGAACCUGUUCCAGUUUAAGCGAGUCAGCUUUUUCCAAACAUAUAAGCAUAUAAAAAAGACGGGCACAAGUAUAUCUACUGGGAUACUUACAGAGUGAUCUGACAGCUUUCUCAAGGCCAUGAUCGCACCUUUAAUAUCACUACGUUCCCAAAAAUGUCUUACAAUCUGCAUGUUCAUGAUCAACGAUGAAAAAAGAAAUGAACAGAAAAAGGACAAGAAAACAAGAGAAACUAUGAAAAAAAGGAUUAGCAGAGACAAAAUUUACCUGUAAUUUUGUUAACCUUGAUUGAAGAGUGUUUAACACCUCAUUAUGCGUUUCCAUUAAAGUCUCCCAAAUGUCACCAUCAUUCUCCCUCCCAGAUAUCUGAGGCUCUUCUUUCUGCAUAAGCCAAACAAAUCAAAAACUUAAUAUGUAUUCAGAGCUCUUUCAACUUUGUAUUCCUUGCAAUUCCAAUUUUUUUCCUCUUAUCAUCAGUGACGACCAAUAUCAAUUAUAGAACGGGCUACAUUUCAAAGAUGGAGAUGUCUAUUAGUUUCCUAAACUUAUCACUAGAAGCUUACCUGGGUCAAAAUAUCAGAAGCUGGUUGCGUUUCUGAUAUAUAUGCCUCAUCCAGUGUCAUAUCAGUCACCUGAUCAAGUGCUGCAGGUGUUGACAGUGUUUGCGUUGGGCUAUAUCGUUGCCUUGAUCUUAUAUUAGAUGCAUUAGAUGUCAAGUUACUUGCUUGACUGUUUCUCACAGGAAUUACACGGGCAGGAGAGUUCCUAGCUGAUCGUGUUAAUGCAACUUGAGGCUCAUAAGAUGGCAUAUUUUCUACUUGAGUGAGUUUCAUUGUCAUUACACGGGCUGGAGACGUCCUAGCUGAUCGUGAAGAUGAUACAGGACGCUCAUCAUAUGUAUUAGAUGCUUGAUUAAGUAUCACAGGCAUUACUCGCGCUGAAGUGGUCCUAACUUGUCUUGUUGAUAUUACAGGAGGCUCAUCAGAUUUCAUGUUAGUUUUUUUACGCUGAUUGAGUAUCACAGGCGUAACUAGGGCUGGAGAAGUCUUAGCUUGUCGGGUGGAUGUUACAGGAGACUCAUCAGAUAUCAAAUUAGUAGCUGAAGACCUAUCAGGUCGUGUUGAUGUUACAGGACGCUCAUCAGAUUUCAUUUUUGAUGUCUGAUUGAGUAUCAUAGGCAUAACUGGAGCUGGAGACGUCCUAGCUUGUCGUGUUGAUGUUACAUCAGACUCAUCAGAUGUCAAAAUAGUAGAAGUCCUAUCAGGUUGUGUUGAUGUUACAGGAGGCUCAUUAGAUUCCAUAUUUGAUAUCUGAUCGACUAUCUCAGGCAUAACUGGAGCUGGUAAAGUCCUAGGUUGUCGUGUAGAUGUUACACAAGACACAUCAGAUGCCAAAUUAGUAGAAGAAGUCCUAUCAGGUCGUGUUGAUGUUACAGGAGGCUCAUCAGUUGCCAUAUAAGUGUCCCGACCGAGUACCACAGGCAUCACUCUGACUGGAGUACUCCUAGUUCGUCGUGUUGAUAACACAGAAACUUCAACUGGCAUCGAGUUAGUUGCCUGAUCAAGUUUAACUGGCAUUACCUGGGUGGGCGUCAUACUGACUGCCUGUACUGAUGCUGUCUGGGGUUCUUCCUCUACAGCAUCAGAGCUCUGAACUAUUGUUGCACUGGCUGCUUUAUCUUCAGUAUGAGUAACUUUUUCUCCUCUUUCAAACCUCUCAACCAAUGACCGCGUCCUUCCCGAAACAACUUUUACUGUAAACACAGCAGUUUUUAAAGAAUUAAUAACCAGAUGACUAAUAUGCUACCAAAGAAAAACAAAGACCGCAAACUUUGAAUGGCUAACCUCCUCUAACAACCUUGACGGAGUUUGAUUCUUUGUUACCUUCUGGGGAUUCAAGGCCUACAUGACACAAUAUUUACAACCAAUUAUAAACUGAUCAUUGCCUGAAGACCGAGUAACUUGACCACAACCAGCAUGAAAACUGUAAAGGAAGUCAUAAACGCAGCUAAAGAUUUAGAUGUAGCAACCUAAAAGCUAAUGCUAUUACAUUUCUGCCGGGUCAUUCUUCCAGAUUGAUUUUUGUUCUCGACUGUCUUUUAUACAAUAAUUCACUCCUUAAUGGACAGUUUUCAAAGGUAAAAGGGAAGCCAUACACAUAAACGUUGCACUAGUUUUAGCAUUGACUUUAGAAGCAAAAAAAACCCAUAGUUUUGAAUCAAGACUUACUUUUCAUUUCAUCACCAGCUUUCUCUGGUGAUAGAACUCUUUCUGACCUGCUUGAAAUGCUCUUGUUAUCGAUAACGUCCUCACACGGGUUACUACCUCUGUCAUCCUUGAGCCCUGUUGGUGAUUCUAUGUAUUUUGAGGACUCUAACCCACUGUUUUUACUGUCUAAAGCUCCAGAAUCAACAGAUGUCGCCAAUUUUGCCUCAUUAUAUCUAGUACUUGGUGAUCUCUGUACAUGAGGUGGUUUCAGCACCAUACCUGAGUCAAAGAUGGAAAGGUUUCCAAAAGGAUAGGAUUAGAUAAUCUAAAAACUUAAAAUUUGAUGAAACUAAAGAAUGAACUGGGAGAACCUACAUUUCGCUUCAUCAGUUGGUGAUUCUGGUAAUAAAGCUUGUUCAAACUUGCUGGUUAUACUCUUGAUGAUUGAAUCGUCAACAUUAAAUGGUUUCCUGACACUUCUUUCUGAAUCAAAUGCCGUCCCAGUAUCUAGCUUCUUCUCACUGUCCGAUCCACUUUUCUUUGGAAUCCCGAAUUGAAUGGCCACUGACUGCUUGGUUUCAUCAUACUUUGUUGGCGUCUUUCUUACAUGAGCUGGUCUCAGCAGCAUGCCCGGUUUUGUUUUUAAUAAAGUGAUAGAUUCCUUUCCUGAAUCAGAAGAGUCUUUCCCAAUUUUACUAUCUCGUGGUACAACACUUUGCACUAUGAUAGAUUUAUUGUCCCCUUCUUGUCCAGUCGAAGUUUCUUUGACUUUCGGAGUAAUUAGAGAUACUGACUUAUGUGCAACAGCCGAAUUUCCACCUGCAGCGUUGAAGAGGAGAGAGAGUAUUAAACCAAAUAUAAACGAUAGGCAUACAGAAGUCCAGGUCACAAUGGUUAUGGCUAUCACUAUUGCAGAGAAACUGACGCUGAAUACUGAAAAUCACAGUCCAGGUCACAAUGGUUACGGCUAUCACUAUUUAAUUCAGAAAAAAGACCACUGUUACAGACUCAAUUCAAUAUCAACUGCUACAAAAUUUCGGAAUAAACACAAACACAUGUACGAAAAAUAUAUGUUUAGAGCAGGCCUAAAGAUAAGUUAGCUUUCCUACCACUAGCGCAAGUAAACCAGAGUUGGUGAUAUCCGUUAAUAGUCUACUGAAAUCAAUCGUUAUGUGCUUAAUUUCUAGAUAUAGUUGGCAUGACAGUAACUAGUAAGCUACCAUCCUGAGACUUCGAGAAACCUAACCAAAAGCUGCCAUACCCCACUUGAAAGGUCAAGUUUCGAUCAGUUCAAGGUAGAAAAUAAAUCCACAAACAUCGAAACAAUAUUAACAUUUACUCACAGUCGAUGUAUAUGUUUUUGAUCUCUUUUGUCUCAUAAUCUGGAGAUGAGCUGCGCCUUGAGCUACUCCUUAUUUUAUCAGAGGACUGAUCAUCCAGUGCACUGAGUAUUUUCUCCACGCAUUCCUUUUUAUCCACAGAUCCAGUGCCAUAUGGCUCAAUUUGCUGUUUUAAUAAAGGAAACAAGAAAAACACAAAGAAAAAAGAAUGAACUCUCGAAUUUUUAGCUACAUGCUUCAUAUAACUUUUUAAAGGUAUGGACAAUCACAAUAGCUGACAUACUGAUAUAUCUGACACCCAAAUCCCUACGGAAUUUUGGUAGUACGAACAACCCAGGAGCUUCCCUUCGCUGAUGCAUAAGUCACCAAGCGUUGACCAUCCCAUAUCAACACCAUCAUGGCUAACUACUGGUUCCCAUGAAUAAACCUGAAUUAUGAGUAUCAAAUUAUGAUAUGAAUGUUUUAAACACUGAGAACCCUCAAUAUGGUAAAUUUCAUCACAAAAACAAAUCAAAACCUUUAAGCUAUCAUCCAAACCACAAAAAAGGGUUCGCCCAUCCGGAUGAAAUUUGAUUGAACGAACUCCAGUAGCCUGUGAAACAAGGAAAUCCACAUCCCAUGGAAAUUAUGUGAAUAAGAUGUUCUAAGACAAUACUACAAAGACAGCUCAAGCAAAAACAUUAUCUCAUGAUUCUCAUCAGAUGCUACUUUUUGCGAAAAAAUUAUAUUUACUUCUUCUACACCUUUUUAAAUAACAAAAUCAUCACUUGGAAUUUCCCUUAACAGUCUUCAGAGAAAGACGAAGAAUAAGCAGAUUUCUGAUAUUGGUAUUGUAUGAGGUUUUCAAGGUAAUCACGCUAAAAGGAAAUAUUGGUAAAAACACUUGUGAUAGAUUCCCCUGGAAAAUCAGUAUCUAGAGAUACAACAGGGUAGUACCUCUGGUCGGGUAGAUCCAAUCAAUUCAAACGUUUCCAAAUCCCAGAACUUUACAGUCCUGUCUGCAGAACCUGAAUAAUGAAUAGAGAGUGUGAAAUCAAGACCUCAAUAUAAAACGUGUGAUUAAAGAGAGGAUAGUUAAUCUACCCACUCAAAAUUGCCACCAAGUUACCCUUAAAACGCCUGAAAAACAAAGAAACACAUACUAACCUGUGGCUAGGAGGAACUCGAGUGGGUGGAAGUCUAGUGAACGGAUAGCUCCUUCAUGAAGUUUAAAUUCAUGCAAAAGCUUUCCAGCAGUCAAAUCCCAUACCUAUUGGAAACAAUAUGUAGUACAUUGUUCAAAGAUCAAGUUGGAAAAAAAUGAUCCACAAGUUUCAUUUGUUGAAAAUGGUGUCCUUACCUUUACAACAUUGUCAAGUCCUCCUGACACUACCCAACGACCAUCAGGAGUAAAUCUAAUAGUGUUGAUGCCACGAGUAUGACCCUUGUACGUCUGUAUGCAUCCCUUUUUUCUGAUGUCCCAAAUCUUUAGAUUCGCGUCACUUGAUCCCGAUGCCAAAAAUUCACCAAAGGGAUGAAAUUCAACAGCAGAACAAUUGGAUCUAUGUCCAGUAAAAGCUCGAACCACUACACUUCAAGGGCAAGAGUGAAAAUGUUAGACCUCAUAAUUCUAAACUAAACAAUAUAUUUAGUCUGGUACACUGCUCAGAUAACUGGACCCAUAACCCACAUUAACCAUAACUCAAAUGGUAUCUAAUAUAUUCCAGUUAAAUGAUGAGACUAGUUCUAUAUAUAAGAAGCAAUAAAUAUUCUAAUUGGAGAGCAGAAAAUCAAUCAACUAACUCUUUGCUUCUUCUACAUCCCACAGCUUUAUCACACCGGAAGAAGCUCCAGCGAGCACCAAAACUUCUGCGGAGUCAAAAGCUACUGAAUCCACUGCACUAGUAUGUCCACAUAGACUCUGCCAAUAAAGAUAUGAAAAGGAUAUAGCAUCAUUCUUUUUUGCUCAAGAAAUUAGUAGAAACAAAACACAUACUGAAGAAAGGAAAUGUGAAACAAACCAUUAAAGAAGUAGGCUUGCCGAUCGCCCAAAGGUUGACUUUGUAAUCAUCACCACCAGUUAUAAAGAGACGUGAUGUCUUCUUUCCAAUACUUAAGCAAUUCACAUUUGCAGAAUGUGCCAAAAACUCCUCUAAGUUCCCAACAACUCAAGUUAAGUUAUAAACAAAACCAGAGACAAGAACAUAUCAACAAAAAUGAAACAACCUUUUGAAGCAACCCGACAUGAAAACAUAAAACAGGUCAACAACAAUGGGAAAUCAAAUCAUAUCCAGAAACAUUCAAGAUGAUAAACACACGGAGAAAAAAAGAAGAAACAUAUUAAUUGCAGUGUCUUUUUCUACCAUUUUGCUCUCAGUUUGAUUAAGCAGACAAUAAUAGAAACAUUUUGACCCGGAAAUUAAUAUCUGCUAGAAUCUUGAAAAUGCUGAACCUUAUCAAGAAGCAAUGAAACCAAAGUUUGUUCUUGAGAGUACAUAGAAAGUAAACUCUAACGAUUCAGUGAUAAAUUACUCAGAACCCAGCUAAAAGCCAAGGCACCACAGCUAAAGAAUCAAACAAAAUCGCCUGAAAAAUUGUAAGGAUACGGAGCUUAUAUCCACGCUUCGCCAUAAUCUACUCGAUUAUGCAGCAAAUCCGUUGAGAAAUCCAGAAUCGAAUCUAUAGCUUCCUGAAUAGAUCGGAAAAAUCGGUGAAUCGGAGCUGAGAAAAAACCCCCAAUUGUCACUAGACGACAGAGCUCGAGAUUUUAGGGAGAUUCAAAAUUGAGAAACAAGAAGAAUUGGAGAUAGCUUCCCGUUGAGAUUUGAAAAAAAUCGAGAAAAGCGUGAGAAAGAAUCAGAUUCGGGUGAAGAAGAAGAUUGAGAAAGGAACAGAGACAAAAAUCAGAUUCAAAUAGUGACGACGACACGAAGAAGAAGAAGAAACAAAAGCAAAAGAAACAGAGAAGAAGAAGAAGAAGAAGAAGAAAGUUUUUAUUUAAUUUUAUCAGAAAUUAUUUAAUUUGAUUUAUUAAUCGGUCGGUCGGGUUUAUAAAUUAAAAAAAAAAAAAAAAGCAUUUUUCUUGGACAGAGGACCUCUCUCUAUAGUUUUUUUCGAAGUUUGUUCUUCUCGGUUCUGACGAAAAUACCCUUUUGUUUUUGUCUGGUCAUUGAAUCGAAGAAGGAAAUAUUACGAAAACAACAUUGCUUCGAAUUGACUUGACUUCUCUCUAUUGGUUCAGUUUUUAUUUUCUCCAACUCCAUCAUACAAUUACAAAGCUUGUAUUUUGGUCACGAAAAAUAUUAUUUGAUUGGUGAGGCAACACGUCAUCGUCUCUUGGUUUUUGUUUGUGUCUUUGAAUAGACACGAUCAAGUAUCAACCUUAGAAAUAAAUUAAAGUAAUGUGAGUUCAAAACAUAGAAUACUUCUGCAAGACAAUCCAUAGAUGUAUGGCCAUGGUGAUCAUAUACACGAAAAGACCGUUAUAUUUUUAGUGAUUUGAUUCUUUUGUGGUCUCGUGUACUAUAUAAUUGUUAACAUUUUCUGUAAUAUGUGUUUUUUCUCAGAAAAUAAAUUUAUUAAGUUUUGAAAGUGUUUCUUCUUAUAUCAUUUAUUUUUUGAAAAAAAUUAUAAUCUUUUUUUUUUGUCUCAUGUUAUAUUUUUAGGUCGGUAGAUAUUUAGUUUUUUCUUUUCUUUUUUUUUUGUCAAUGGUAGAUAUUUAGUUUGUUACGUUAACUUUCGUUUUUAUUUUUUAUGUUUAAAACGUUCACGUUAAAGAAUUGUAAUUUAUGAAUUAUGAAAAGAUUGUGGAUUUCGGCUCAAUAUAGAAUUUUUUUUUUUUUUUUUUUUUUUUUUGUCGUCAGGCAUUCAUCGAUCACGGUUAUAAAAGGAAUGCAACACGAGGACUUCCCGGGAGGUCACCCAUCCUAGUACUACUCUCGCCCAAGCACGCUUAACUGCGGAGUUCUGAUGGGAUCCGGUGCAUUAGUGCUGGGAUCCGGUAUAUAGAAUUUCAACUUGAAACUAAAGUAUUUUAUUCUGUUUUUAUCUAAGUGCCACUCGAACCAUCUACUAUUUCAUAAUUUUUAAAAAACUUUUUAUUGAUUUAUUGCUAUUAAUUGAAUUGUUGCAACAUAUAGUAUAUGUUACUAACCAUUGUAAUUUUUGGUUUUCUGAUGAAUUACAUUUGUUAAAAUUGCUAAAAAGUUUAGUAUAUUUGAUAAACCGGUGCAAUUUUGAUAUAUUUUAUGAACUGUUACACUUUUUUGUCUUUAUAAUAAAUAUCUAAGGAAAAUAUUUUCCAUCAUCACAUCUCUCGAUAAUAACUUUUCUUAAUUUUAUUUUAUAAUUUUAAUCACAUUAAUAUAACUAAAUAAAUUGUUGCUACCGUUUAAUUGAACCAUUGUUUUUGAAAGAUUUUUGUGUAAAAAAAACCUUGUAAGUAAUUUUUUUUUGCAAGAAACCCCUCAAUAUCAAAUAAAUACAUGUCAAUACUACGAUUUCAAAAAUCAUCCUCAAUAUAACUCUUCUCUUAAUGAUGUGGCAAUUUAAAAAUCUGUUAGUUUGAAGGAAAAAAUGUCAAAGUUUGAGAUUUAUUUUUUAAUAAAAAGUAAAGUAAAAAAGUAAUAUUUGUUUGUGUUUUGAUUACCUUAUUUCUUCCGUUGUUACAGUGAUCAUCAACAUCUUACAAGUUUGAUGGUUACUAUUAAUUUCAUGGUUUAAUGAUGAAAUUGAUAUUUGAUUUUUGGAUUUUGUAAGGAUUUGAUUAAAUUUGCAUUUUGAUUGAUUUUUAACCAGUUUUGGAAAAAAUUGCUAGUCUAUAAACAAUGUGGUAUCGUUCAUAUGGUGGAUAAUUGGAUUUUAGGAGAAGCUCGUAAUCAUUACUAGUAACAGAUUUUAAUUUCAACUUAGUAUUUGGUUUAUUUUAUUAAAUAUUGUAACUUAAAGUUUAUUUGUUGAAGUUUUGCAACUUUUUGUAUAUUUGAUGAAAUGUUGCAACUUUUACUUUAUUUGACAAAUUAAUAGUUGUAAAUUUUGGUAUGUAUGAUAUAUAAAAAAAAAUUUAAGCUAUAUUUUCCCUUUCUUAACAAAAUUCCGAACACUAAUCAAAGGUAAACAAAUUAAAAAUCACUAAAAAAGAGUUAGAGAGCACAAAAAAACAUCAUCAAAACACGAUUAUUUCAAAUUAUAGUAUCAUAAGUGUGUCUGUAAAUAUAGUGAGGUAUAGUGAAAGGUUCUUAGAAUCAAUAAUUUAAUAAAGAAAUAUGAAAUUUCUUAAAAACACAAUUUUAAAACUUCGAUAAAACCUUUUUGGACUAUCACAUCUUUUGGUGAGAAGCUUUUAUUCUGUUUUGUUUCACUUACAAAUGUUUUUACCAUCAUUAAAAAUCUUAAAAUAUCGUAAUUCUAUUCAUAAAUUAUUUCUAGAAUAUUUUACGAAGGUUUAACAAUCUUUAAAAAUUUACAGGAAAACAUAAUGAAGUUACAUAAUUUAAAAUAUUUAAAUUUACUAUCUCGAUAAUUUAAUAUAUAUAAAUGUAAUAGAAAAAAUUUGUGAUAAAAAUAUUUCUUUUUAAAUGUGAUAAAAACAGAAAAAAAAACAAAUAAAAUGCUUUUAAAAAUGUUCUUUUUCUAUCAAACACAUAUUAUCUAAGAAUUAAUGGGAAAGUGGAUUAAACAUGUAGUAACUAGGAAUCCACGAAUGAGACCGGUUAACACGUCUUGACGCACAAAAAGAAUCUCAACAUACUUCACACAAAACAAAACAAAAAAACAAAAAAAAGUGCAGGUAACGUUGAUUAUGACUUUAAAAGAUUAGCUUGCCAACUUGGCUGAGAUGAGAGCCUGAGAUCAUUCUGUUUCUUGAAAGAGCUUUCCGUUGAUUCUUUACAAUUUAGUUAACUAAUUUUAUAGAAUGUGGAAACUCUGAAAUAUUAUGAAAAAGAAUCUCUAGUUGUACUAUAAACCAAAAUUGGCUCUUCUUUACUGCCUCAAAUCAGAAAGCCACUAUACAUAGAUUAGAAAUUAGAUCACAGUCUUAGUGUAUAUCCAUAUUAUGUUUAGUAACAUAGAAAAAAAUGAAAAUACAUCACUAAAAUGUAAACUGUUACUGAAUUGUGUGAUGUACGUAAUCCAAGUGCAAAGGAAAAGCAAAUGAUACAAUCCAAAUUAAUAACACAACAUAUAUACACAGCAAGAAGCAACAUAAAGCCAAAAGAAACAUACAUAUACGUAUACAUAGAUCUGAUUUUAGAUAGUGUCGAAUCCCAAUCCACAGCAAAUAACGUUUAGAUCUAAAGCCCAUAGAGAAGGAAAAAAAACAAAGUUAGUGACACUUGUAGAAGUACACAUUGAAAUUGAGAGGCAUAUUAGAAUCUUUUUAUGUGAUACUUAUUGUGUUUGUUGUGUAUCAUGAUGCAAAUAGAUCAUCUAUGUAUAUUAAGGGUGCAUACCUCAUGCUAACAUAGAGCAACCAAGUAAGAAACUCAAGCCAAAGAGAAUAAGAGAAAUGAAUAUUCCCAAUCUAGAGUAAAGAAUACGUUAGACCUAAAGCCACAAAAAUGAGACAAAGGAAAUAACGAAACAAUGUGAGAUGCACAUAUUCUAUUAUGAAUUACAAUUUGUGUUUGUUGGGUAUCAGUAUCAUGAUGCAAAUGUAUCAUCCCUCAUAGUAGCCAAGGUUAAACAUGAAAAACAAAAAAAAGCUGAUGGCAAAAAAAACCAAGCAGAAGAGAUUAAAAGAACUGAUUACCAGAUUGAUUGAAGACAAGAAACGAUUUUUGGUAUCUUCGUCCUCCCAUUCAAGGCCAUUUCCUUGUUCUCGAGGAUCCAUAUAUAUUACAAAUUCCUCAACUUGAGGGACACUUGUAGCAUUUAAAGGAAGCUUUCUCAGCUUUGGACAGUUUUGUGCAGUUAAUUCCCUCAAAAAUGGAAAGGGAAGAGGACUCCAGUAGAUACUCUCCAGCUUUGGCAAUCUGUUCAACCGUAAGCUUUCUAGUUUCAGAAAUGGGAUCAUACCAGUGAGAUUGGUUGCUUUCUCUUUGUUUAUAAUUUCUUCCAGUUCUUCUGAACGUACAAUGCGUAGCUCGACAAGAUUUGGAGCAAACAAUAGCCAAGUCAGAUCCUUAAUGCCAUUGCAAUAAAAUAUAUUCACUAGAGAGAGGUUGCUGAAGCAUGGACUUGUCGGAUUAUAUAGAUCAGACGAGUUUUUUCUUCUUUCUCUGAAAUUUUUAUAUGAAUUCAUCUCCGAGACAUGAGUGUAAAGCAUUCUGAGCUCACAAAGAUUCUCCAUAUUCACCAACAAUGAUAUAUUCAACGGCUUUUGUUGAAAUUUAUGCAUUUGCACACUAUUGAUGCAGUUUGCUAACCUUUGAACGCCGGAUAUUUGCUCCAAACCCAAAUCCGUAGAUAAAGAGAUGGUUAGAACUUGAAGGUGCUCCAAGAGCUGCAACUUCUUCACUAAGCUAACCUCUGCACGAGCUCUAGUUACGUCAUUAUAAUAUUCUUCGCUUACGUAUCCAUGAACAACAUUAGAAUCUUGUAGUUUCAAAACUCUUAGACUCGGCAACUUUGAUAUCCCAUUGAUACUACAAAGUCUCUUUGUAUAAGCCAAAUUCAGGUGAAUUAGCUUUUUCAACUCUUGAAAACCAACAGGUAGAUGCGUAAUACUUGUACCCGACAAGUCAAGAAACCGCAAGGAUGUUAGUUCUGAUAUAUACUCUGGAAGUUCAAUGAUGUGGGAAUUACAUGAUAGAUCCAAAACAGCUAGCUCUUUCAUAGACCGGAUAAAUUCACCUGAGAAAUUCUUCAAGUUAUUAUUCUGGAGGAACAGAGUGAUAAGACGAGAACAGUUGAAUUUGCAUGUUAUCUCUGUAAUAUUAUUAGUCAUUAAUGACAUUCUUCUCACAGCUCCCCAGUCCUUGACUUUUGGUACUUCAUGUAAUUCCAUUCUUGCUUGUACAACAAAAUUUUCUUUCUCUUUCCCAAAAUUGGAUGCAAUCCACAAAGCCAUUUCGCGAACCACGUCAUGCAUCAUAACAAAUGUUGUACCAACCGUUGUCAAUAAAUUUGCACGGAUAAGGGUACCGAGUACCUCAUAACCUUUAUUCCUCGCUCUUUUUACAACAUUGUAGUCUCCAAUGAAUCCUUCGCAUAUCCAGUAGUCUAUCAACUUUUCUUUAUCUAUCUAAUUAUCUUCUGGAAACAGAGCACAAUAUAGAAAACACGACUUGAUAUGUUCAUCCACCAAGUUAUCGUAGCUGUACUUGAGAAUCGAAAGAAUUUUAUUUUCCAUGUCAGAAAACUCUGCAGCGGAUGUAGUCAAAACAUCGAUUGCAUGCUCCCAUUCUUGUACCAUAGUUUUAGAUGCCAUCGCCUCACCAAUGACACUGAGCGCCAGUGGCAAACCUCGACAUUUUUCAGCAACCUUUUUUGCUAGCUCGAUAAUGGAGGGAUCUCUUCUUAAUGAAUUGUAUCCGACCUUGUUUUUAAACAAUUCCCAUGCGUCAUCUGGUUCCAAGCAAUUGACUUGAAUCGGUUCAUGAUCCCCCAUUCGCCCACAUACUUCCAAAGAACGGGUGGUGAAUGCUACUUUACUUCCAUUUUCUCUUGUCGGAUAUGGAACUCCGAUAGCCUCUAAAUCCACUUUCUCCCAUAUAUCAUCUAGCAUCAAUACAAAUCUUUUCCCCUUUAAAAAACUGUAUAUGUCACCAGCCUUGUCAGUUUCGUUUUUAUUGAUCCACUCGUCGCCACAAAGGUGUAGCUUUUGUGCAAUAUCUUCUUGAAUCUUUGAAGUCUUUGCGCCUUGGGACACCACAAUCCAGAUCACAACGUCAAAGCCACCAGCCAUUUCAGAAAACUUAUUGUGGAUUUUUUUGAAGAGUGUAGUUUUGCCAACACCUCCCAUACCAUGCAGACCCAUAAUUCCGACUCCAUCUUCCAUAAGGCGAUUCCAUGCCAUUUGGAGCAAUUUAUCCUGACCAAUCGUAGAUUGAGUAGGCCUCUCCUCUACUUUAGAUGUCGUAGCUUCCUCAGCAACCACUUCGAAGUUACCUUCUGAUUUGAGAUUCUUAACCUCUUCCAACAACAAGAAUACGCUUUUCCCAUAAUUAUAGCUUGAACAUACAUAUUUUGAACAUAAACCACAGAGACACAACUUCUGAAGCUCAACGGGACAAGUACUAAGUAGACUUUUGAUUUGUAAAUCAAUGCUAUCGACACGGGUAAGCCAUACCUGGACAGCUUUAAGCCUUUGUUGAUGUCGUGUCUCCUCUCUCGCUACCUUGUUCUGCACCUCAUCUUUUAUUGCUCUGAGAUCUUCCAUUUCCCUCUCCAAAUCCCUGAGAUUCUUCUUGAGGUUUCGAAUAUAACCUUUACCACGUAAGAAUCUAAUGAAACGAUCCACCGUUUGAUCACUAGAAACUUCGAUACACACAAAAUUCCCCAUGUUGAAUGAAAGAGGUAAUGUUUUCACCAAGUAACAACGAAAAUGUAAACCAUCUAUCAAAGAAAGAAAAAUACAACGAAGCUAAAGCUGAAGAAGUGUUUUAGGAUUAUUAUAAUCAUAUUUUAUAUGCAACUAUCUUCCAGAAAACACAAAGGUCAAUGAUUUUAUCUCUCCCUGUUUGGAUUAUUGUAAUCACUUUUAAAAAAGCAAUGGUCAACGAUACAGAUAUCGAUGACUAAUCGCCCAGUUUAGAUUGUUAUAAUCACUUAACACGCAACCAUGUUGUAAAGAAAACAAAGGUCAAUGAAAGAAAAAAAAUAAAAAAAUAAACACAGUGAUGAAACUAAACACAUAGAAUACAAACUACAGUGAUGAAAUAGGCUUAAAAUCUAAGGGCACUCAAACCUGUGAAAUAUGCCACAUCGGAUAAAAGAGUAUACCACAUCGGAUCAUCAACAGAGGGAAGACUGGAAGAGAAAACAAGACUGAGUUUACCAUAACACUCAACAAGUUUAGAGUUAGAUCACAGCCUUAGUACUGUCAGAAUGAGGUUUAAGGGAUUCACAUCAGAUGUUCAUAAUUUAGCAAAAUCAUUACUUUUUAUCAAUAUCUGCAUGAUAUAGCAAAACCACAACUUUUCAUCUAGAUGUAGUCUGAAGGAUCAGAAUGUAAAUCAGAAGCAAUAAUACAAUUCAAAUGGACAACACCCUCCCUCUACAAAAAGAAAAUGAAAGCAACAAAAGAAGAAGCGUGGUUUCUGAUUUUAGCCAGUGACGAAUCCAGACUCACAGUAAAAAGAUGUUUAGACCUAACGCCGCCACUAAAUAAGAACAAAAGAAACAAAGUCAGUUAUCCACUUCUGGAAUGCAUUAAAAUCGAGAGGCAGAGACUAUUCGUAUUGCUGAACAAGAGUGAAAGCAAAACAUGAAUCACUUGCUUGUUUUAUGUUUUAAACUAAAUGACAUCUUAGUGAUUCAAAUUGUGUUAUGCAAAAUGGCUCAUAUCAGUGAUCAGUCUAAUAAUGGUGUAUAUCUCAUGCAAACAUAGAGCAUAAGAAACUCAGUGAACACAAGCGGAAGCGAUUAAGAGAAAUGAUUACCUGACUGAAUGAAGGCAAGAAACGAUUUUUGGUAUCUUCAUCCUCCCAUUCAAGGUAAUCUUGUUGUUUCGGAGGAAGCAUUGCUAUUGAAAACUCGUCACUGCGUGGGACACUUGUAGCAUUUAAGGGAAGCUUUCGAAGCUUUGAACAACCUAUUGCACUUAUCCGCCUCAAAGAUGGAAAGGGGAGAGGACUCCAGUAGAUAUUCUCCAGCUUAGGUAAAUUUGUCAAUGAUAACACUUGUAGGUUCUGAAAUGGUGUAAUAGUAAUACCUGUGAAGUUGAUUGCUUUCUCUUUGUUUAUAAUUUCAUCCACUUCUCCAGCAAAUGUAACGUCUAGGUAGACAAGAUUUGGAGCAAACAAUAACCAAGUCAGAUCUUUCAUGCUAUGGCAAUUAAUUAUACGCACAAUGGAGAGGUUGGUGAAGCAUGGACAUGUCGUGUUCUGUAAAUCAGAUGAGUCCCUCUCCAUUUCUCUGCACUUCAUAGAUGUAUUAAUCUCCGCGACAUGACAACUUACCACCCAGAGCUCAUUAAGAUUCUUCAUACUCACCAGCAAUGAUAUGUCGAAUGGCUUUUUUCGAAAAUCACUAAUAUCCAGACUAGUUAUGCAGUUCGCCAACCUUUGAUCGCCUAAUAUUUGUUCCAAACCCAACUCUGUAGAUAUCGUUAUGGUGAGUGUUUGUAGAUGCUCUAAGCACUGCAGCUCCUUCAAUAAGCUAACAUCUCCAUGAACUUUAGAAUUCAGUAGUUUCAAAAUCUUUAAACUCCUCAAAUUUGAUAUCCCAACCAUACUACCAAGUCUCUUUGUAGAAGUCAAAUUCAGGUGAGUUAGCCUUUUCAACUCUUGGAAGCCAACAGGCAGUUGCACUAUACUAGUAUGUGACAAGUCCAAAAACUGCAACGAGACCAGCCCCGAUAUCUGUUCCGGAAAUUUCUUAAAACUGGAAUUACCACAUAGAUCCAAAACCACAAGCUUUUGCAUAGACAGGAGGAAUUCUCCUGAGAGAUUCUUCAAAUUAUUAUACUGGAGGAACAAAGUGGUAAGCUCAGGACAGUUGAAACUGCAUGUUAUCUCUUCAAUGCUAUUAUUCAUUAAUGACAUCUUUCUCACAACUCCCCAAUCCUUUACUUUAGGUAUUUUUAUUAAUCCGACGUUUGCUUGCACGAUAAAAGUCUCUUUCUGUUUCCCAAAACAUGAGGUAAUCCACAGAGCCAUUUCGCGAACCACAUCAUGCAUCACAACAUCAUGUGUACCAACUUCCGUUAGUAAAUUUGAACGGAUAAGGGUCCCGAGUAUCUCAUAACCCUUAUUCAUCGAUCUUUUUAUAACCUGGCAUUCCCCGAUGUAUCCCUCACAUAUCCAAUAGUCUAUCAACUCUUCUUUAUCUAUUGUUUUAUCUUCUGGAAAUAAAGCACAAUACAGGAAACACGACUUGAUAUGUUUAUCCACCAAGCUAUCAUAGCUGUACUUCAGAACUGGAAGAAUUUUAUCUUCCAUGUCAGAAAACUCAGCAGCAGAACUAACCAAAACAUCGACUGCAUUCUCCCAUUCUUGUACCGUAGUUUUAGACGCCAUUGUCUCACCAAUGACAUUGAGCGCAAGUGGUAGACCGCGACAUUUUUCAGCGACCUUUCUGGCAAGUGCCACAAUGAGGGGAUCUCUUCUUAAUGUAUCGUCCCCGACCUUGUUUUUAAACAGUUCCCAUGCUUCAUCUCGUUCCAAACACUUGACUUGCAUUGGUUCAUGAUCCCCCAUCCGCCCACAUACUUCUUGAGAACGGGUGGUGAAUGCUACUUUGCAUCCAUUUUCUCUUGUAGGAUACGGAACUCCAAUGGCUUCUAAAUCCACUUUCUCCCAUAUGUCAUCUAGCAUCAAAACAAAUCUCUUCUUCUUUAGAACUCUGUGCAUCUCUGCGGCCUUAUCACCUUCAUUUUUGUUCAUCCACACCUCGUCACAAAGGUGUAGCUUUUGUGCAAUAUCAUCUUGAAGCUUAGAAGUCUUUACGCCUUGAGAUACCACAACCCAGAUCACAACAUCAAACUUACCAGCCAUUUCAGCAAACUUAUUAUGAAUUUUUUUGAAGAGUGUUGUUUUCCCAACACCGCCCAUACCGUGCAGACCCAUGAUUCCGACUCCAUCUUCAACAAGGUGGUUCCAUGCCUUUUUGAGUAUUAAUUCCUGACCAACCGUAGGCUGUGUAGGCCUCUCCUCCACUUCAGAUCUCGGUGCUGGCUCAGCAACGACAUCAAAAUUACUCUCUGAUAUAAGUUGUUUAACCUCUUCCAACAACAAGAAUACCCUUUUCCCAUAACUGUAGCUUGAACAUACGGUUUUGGAAUAUAAACCACAGAGACACAACUUCUGAAGCUGAACAGAACUUGUACUAAGCAAAUUUUUGAUUUGUGAAUCAAUGUUAUCGACACGGGUAAGCCAUACCUGGACAGAUUUAAGCCUUUGUUGAUGCAGCCUCUCUUCUCUGGCUACUUUGUUCUGCACCUCAUCUUCAAUUGCUCUGAGAUCUUCCAUUUCCCUCUGCAGAGCUCUGAGAUUCUUCUUGAGGGUUCGGAUAUAACCUUUACCACAUAAGCAUCUAAAGAUACGAUUCAGCGUUUGACCAUCAACAGUAACUUGAAUAGAAAAACAACUCCCCAUGGUAAUGAAAGAGAGAAAAGAAUACAAAGAAACAAUGAAGCUAGAGCUGAAGCUGAACAAAUGACGAGGGAAGAAAGGAUUAGUUAGAUUUCAGUCCACUUUACGUUGAAAUUUCCACAUCCACUGUUUCAUAGUUAAGAUAAAACUAAAGAAUACAAAGCUCAAUGAUUCAUCAUCACUUCAUCAUCACCCACUUUGGAUUAUUAUAAUCACUUUACAUGCUGGUCAAUGUUUAAUCACUAUAAUCAUUUGCUUUUAGUAAUUUCAAAUUUCCACCGGAAAUUAAUAUAAUAUCUUAAGAAGUUGAACAAAUAACUUUUAAAACUGUAUGUAAAAGGAUCAUAUCAGUCUAAUAAUACCUAGAGUUAACAAGAAACUCAGUGAGAAGAGAAAAUAAAUAAUGAUUACCUGAUGACAGAACAAAGGCAAGAUACGAAUUUUGGUAUCUUGGUCCUCCCAUUCAGUGUCAGUUUCCUGUCCUCAACAAUCCAUGGUUACCGAAAAACGCGCCAAUUCAAAGGUACACCUGCAGCAUUUAAGGGAAGCUUUCUUAGUUUGGAAUGAAGCAAGAAGAACAUGGAAUUAGAACAAAAGUCAAAGUGUGGCAAAGACACUAUAAGCGAAUCCAUCUUAUCUUAUUGAGUGUGAAAGAGAGCCAUAUCUUUGGUUAUUCUUCUUCUUCUCCAUAGUUGUAACUUGUAAGUUGAGAACCACACAAGUUAUCUCUCUUCAAUGCUGUUACCCAAUAAAGACAACCUAUGAGAUGGAUCUGGAUUCUGAAAGAGUAAGAAACAGGACAAAGAGUGGUUGAUGAUGAGUAAGGAACUGGAAGACAGACACUUUAAACACAGUAAUAACAUACAAUUCUAAUAUAGUAAUAUCCAAUUAUUUGUAUCAUAAUGCAAAUGAAUCAUAUCGCUCUAAUAACAGUCUAUACAUGAAAGAAGCUCAGCAAGAAAAAGAAAAAGAAAACAGAAAAUUCUAGUUACUACACUUAGAUUUACUCACUUCGGAGAGAUUGGUACUGCAUAGAUAGACUUGUUGGAUUGCAUAAACUAUUCUUGAGUCCAUCUCGCUUUCUCUGCACUUCAUGCUGGCGUUCUUAAAAUGCAGAUUUCUGGGCUAAAUCUUAUCUUUAAACAUACUCAGUAAAGGGCAGAGACAAUUUUAGCAGACAUUUCAUAAAAGCUAAAAAGUUGAUGAAAAGUCACAACAUAGAGUGGUAUGAAUGUCAAAACAGAACACACUAGUGAAGAAAAAUGUAAUAUAUCUAAAUCAGAGGAAGAAGAUCUUACAAACUUUGGAGGGGCUGCUGAUAAUUUUAAAUCUUGUACAUUGCUAGAAUAUUCAAAACCACUUUCCAAAUUACAAAAAAAAAAAAGAACUAUAUCAAGCAGUCAGUUAAGUGAUAACAAAGAUCACUGCUUCAUUUUUGCAACAACAUAUAAAUCACGCAGAUGAAAUGUAUGACAAUGAUCUAUAUAACCAUUUUGCAUAUCUUUCUGAAGAAGACUUGAUUAACCAACUUGGAUUUAGAUGACCUUCUUCGUAUUUGAGACAAAUCUUAGGUUUGAGUUCUUCAAUUCAUGGAGUUAUGGUGAGUUUUAGGGAUUUUGAUCAGUUCCCUAGUUUUUAUUAUCUAUAAACCACUUAAUUUGAAGAUAUAUGUAACAUAUGAAAUUUAUUAACUUUUUAAAGUCUUACGCGGUUGAUCUAUCUCGUUUAGCGUCUUUAGUUUUUUUUUCAACAGUACUUAACUAUUGUAAAACUUUGUGAAGAUGGUUAGUGCUAAGAUAAUGUAUAGAGAAUUUCUGGAAUUUUUUUAUAUUUUAAAAUAAAAAAAACAUUCUAGAAAAGUUAUAAUCAUAAAUCAAAAGAAAUAAAAGAUGUAGAUAUUUUACCUUGAAUUGAUUGACGAGAAGAAAUGUGACAAAAUAUAUUUUGUUACAUUUCUUCUCAUGAAUCAAUCCAAGGUAAACUAUCAACAUCUUUUUUAGUUCUUUUGGUUAUACGAGUUAUUUUAGAAACAUACUUUUCUAGAACGGUUUCGUGAUUUAUAAUAAAAAAAGCAAAGACUUUAUACUUUUUUUUGAAUUGAUUAUUAUCACAAGUGUUACUAUAAUUCAAUGUUAAAAAAAGCAAAAGACGCUAAACGGGACCAGACUUACCGCAUAAUACUUUAAAUAUUUAAUGAUUAUCAUAUGUUAGAUAUAUCUUUAAUUUAGGUGGGGUUUAGGUAAUAAAAAUCAAUAUUAGAUAUAUAUUAAUUAUUAAUAAUGUAAAAAAAUAAUAUACUAAAAAAAUCCAUAUUCGUAACAAAUAAAUUUGAAUAUAAAUUUUAUAAAAUUAAAAACUAAACAUUAAUAUAGCACUAAUGAGAACUAGACUAAAACAUCUAUACGAAAAAUCUAGAAUGUGAAAUUUGAAGAGGGAGACAAAUCUUAAAAUAUAUAGUUUGGUCUUCUCUUUUUUCACAUAAGAGCUUAUUAAAAAAAUUAGUCUAUAUGUAAAUUUGAUGUACAUUUUACAGAACUUAUUUCAACUUUGUUCUAGGUUAAUUUACUCCUAUAUAUAGAUGAUCAUGUUGUUGGGAGAAUAUUAGAGCAGAUGUAGGAGGUAAAAUGUAUAUAUUUUUUUAUAAGUUAGAGAGGAAGAAGAUCUUACAGACUUUGGAGGGAAUCAGUCUUGUAGACUGCAGCUAUUGACAAGAUUGAUCGUGAUAGCCUUCACACUCACAAAAACUUAUUAUGUAUGGACUGGCAGCUAUUGUUUGUUGCCCAAAUAAAAAUAAAACAAGCCACCACUAGACAUAUAUUAGAAUUAGAUCACAGUUUUAGUAUCUUCAUAGGUUUACCCAUGUGGCCAAAGGGAUAAAGUUAGCAAUUCUACGUCUGAGGAGAAUCGAUCUCUGGCCUAGACCAACAUGGCGACUCUUCCACCAGACUAGAACCACUAGCCCACCACCUCUGGUUAACAGAGUUCAGGCUAAGUUUAAGGGGAUUGAUUAAUAAUAUUAGAGAACUUAAGUACAUGAUCUUCAUGAAUUAGCAAAAUCAAAAGUUUUCAUCUUGAUCAUGUUAUAACCAUCACACAAAUAUGUACGCUGCAAGAUGAAAGAGAAAGCAAACGAUACAACCCAAAAUCAGAAUCCAAUAUAAGUAAUACAAUAAGAAAAUGAAAAACUAUAGAAUCCAAGAGAACAACACGUACAGUCCAGAAAGAUGAGUAUGCAAAGAAAAAGCAAUGAUACAAUCCAAAAUAAACAGCACAACACAGUACUACAAGAAGAAAGAAAGCAGUGUUUCUGAUUUUAGUAUGGCAUACCUUCAUACUACCAAGAGCUAAUAUUGUGACAUGCAUCUCUUUCUGAAUAUAACUAAAUACUCUGAUUGAGAAAGCCACUUGGAUUUAGACAUUGUCUCUUAACAAAAAUAAACACAAAGACGCUGCAAGAUGAAAGAGUAAAACAAACGAUGCACUCCACUAAGAAAGUAGAAGAAGAAGAAGCGUGGAUUCUGGUUUUAGACAGACUAUGAGGCUAUGGCCACAGACCCUGCAAUAUCCUGUGGAGAAAAAUGAAAGAAUGUUAGUAACACUUUUUGUGAAAAGCAUUGAAAUUGAGAGGCACAACAGGUUCUCUAUUAUGCGAUCAAUUUUUCCAGAAAAUCAAUUUUUUUUUUUUUUUAAGAGUAUCAUAUAUAUAUACUAGAAGUAGACCCGCGAUGCGCGAGAUAAAUUUGAUAUUAAAUUUAUAAUAAUUUUAAUAUAUUUUUUGGAAAUCAAUUGGAUUGAAGCAAUUAAGUAAUUCUCUUCAUUUUUAUGCACUAUCUCAUAGAAUAUUUAUUUGAUGUUUCCAAAUUUUAAAAUAAAACUAAGUGUAUAUGUUUUAUGAUUAUUUUGUAUUAUGCAGAUUGCUAUCUACUGCAUAAAUUAAUUAAAAUACAUUAUAAAUGAUAUUUCGUUUUACAAAAAAAAAAAUCAAAAAGUUAAAUAAUUUUUUAAUUUGUAUUCAAAAAAUUCCAUCAUCAAUUAAAAUAAGCAUUAGAGUAAUUUUUUUAUUCAUCUACAUUAGGAUACUAAGAGUAAGAUUUAUAGACUUAGAGCAUUACAAACAACUCUUUGAACUUGUAAAUAUACUUUAGGUUUCUCCCUAUGUCAUAUUCUUUUUUUUUUUGUUUUCAAAAAAAUCAUUGCUUAUGAAAUGUUGAUUACUUUUUUCUUCGGUCUCUCAAAAAAUCAUAUCUUCUAAUAUUUCAUAUAGGAUAAUAUUUAUAUAAUGACACAUUAAUACUUCAAUUUUUUAUUUGUCAACAACCUUAUAUUAAUCCAGAGCAUCAAAAUAGCCUAAUAUUAAUUACAUAUUCAAUAAAAACCUAAACCAUAUGUAUUCUUAAAAAUAGGUUAUGUUAAUUAAAAAGAAAAGUCAUAUACAAUUUAUCAUAGCCGCUUUGCUCUCUACCACGAUUCCCGAGAAAAAAAAAAUAUUUUAAUUUAAAUGAAAAUUAAAUAAUGUAACAAUAACAUCAUGAGAAUUUAUAUAUAAAUAAAUUAUAGGACAAUAAGGAAAAUAAUAAGAAAUAAAAUUUUAGAGAAGAAAUGGAAAAUAUUAAAAUUUGGAAGAAGAUAUUAGGUUAGUACCAGGUAAGUUUUCUAAUUUAUCUACCAAAGUGUUGAUUUCUUUGUAUGUUUGGAUACAAAAAUAGUGGUCAAUGUAAAGUUCAUCUAUUGUACUAUGAUCGUAUAAGAAGACUUUAAAGUUAUGGUUAGUUAGCCGGUAGGAGUUAAAAUAUUUUGUUUUAAGAAAAAUCUGAAGGACCAAAUUUAACCACGUUUUUUCGUUUUCAAAAAAUACUUAGCCCUCAUUAACAUUUUAACGAUAUUUAUAUAAUAAUUUAUUAGAUCACAAAAAUUAAUUAUAAUGAUACAUAAUAUAAAAAUAAAUUACAAAGAAUAAUUUUAAUACAAAAGAGGUAAGAAAAUAUUAUUUGGAAAAUGUGUUACGAUAAAAUAUUUAAUUAGAAAUUUCUUAAUUAGAAAAGAAAAAUGCGAUGUUUGGCAUUUGGAAAUCGAGAAAUAAAUUUAUUUUCGAAGGUGUUUGGCUCUCUCAGUCCAAGGUUCUACAUAAAUCAAAAUGCGAUGUUCAGGCCUGGAUGAAUCAUACUUCUAUGGAUCACAAUUCUAUCACUUCGGAGACUAGAUCUUCAACUCAAAGAGUAUUAGGUUGGGGAGCUUCUCAGCUAGGAACGUCUAUUUCAACAUUAGAAGCAGAAACAAAGUCAUGUCUACCUGCAUUACAACAAGUUUGGAUAAGGGGUAUUAUGAAUAUUUGCUUUGAAGGAGAUUGCAAGUUACUGAUUGAUAUAUUACAAAAACAAUAUUUUGAUAUUACAAUUGAAGCUGUUCAUCGGGACAUUCUCUCUUGGGUUAAUAAGUUUUCCAAUGUUUCAUUUGCUUUUUGUAAUAGGAAUUGUAACAAAGUUGCUCAUGUAUUAGCUUCUUCUGGAUGUAUUUCGAUUCCCUUUUAUUCUUAUUUUUUAAAUCCGCCUGUAUGGCUAUCAGACCAAUUGUAUUACGAUUUUUUCAAUUAUCAAAUAUAAUCAUAUUUUGAUGAAAAAAAGAAAGAAAAGAAAAAUGCAUAUAUAUGUAAGAAACUAUGCGAACAUCAAAAAUAUAUAACGAAAUGUAUCUUUUUAACUUAAUUCUAGUGAAUUCUUUGCAUUUAAAUAUAUGUGAAAUGGAUUUUUAAAUCAAAAUUUUUAUUUUUAUAGCCUUCAAAAUCUUUUAUUUUACACAUGUGUUGUUUCAUACUUUCUUAAUUUAUAAGUAUGAUUAAAUUUAAAAAUAUGUUAGAUUUGUAUCAUACUUUCUAAAAAUAUUUAUAUCAAAUUAUUGAAUGAUCAUUUCAUUGAUUUUUAUGCCAUAUAACAACAUAAAAAAUAGAAAAAUAUUAAAGAUACAUGAAUAUAAUGGAAUAGGGUGAGGGUAUGAUUACUUAUAUGAUGAUAAUCUAAAAUAUAAAAUAGAGAUGAAUUUUCAAAAAACAAAAAUUAUAAUAACAUAAGAUGUAUAUCAUAUAGUCUCUAAUUUGUUUUUACAAUUGAGCUUUUAUAAAAGAAUAUUUUACUUGUUUUCUAAAACUCAUACAAAAAAAAAAGAAAAAAAAACACGAAGCUCUUUUUUUAUAUAUAAUAAUUGAGAUAGAGAAUUAGAGGAUGAGAGAAUGAGGGAAUGAUAACUGAAAAAAUGAGUAUAUAUAGGAAGAGAAGUUAUGGGAGUUACAAUUUCAUACAAAAAUUUAUGGGAAUCAAUUAUAAUUUAUUGUGUGCUGAAAAAUUCAAUGUAAAAUAUAGUUAAUGCAAAGUUAUAUUAUUUCAGUUUUUAUAUUAAAGUGUGAGUUUAAUGUAUAUGACUAAAUGUGUUUUAUGGUUUAACUGUUUUUCAGUUUUAUAUUAAAUUGUGAAUUAAAUAUAUAUAAUAUAUAUAUAUAUAUAUGAUAAUACAUAAUUUUUUUUUAAAAGUUAGAUGCCAAGUGAACCAAUAAGAAUAGAGUGAAACUUUAUUUAUAUAAAUAUAUAUAUAUAUGAUUUGUGAAUAAUAUGAUAAUUAUUCUUUGAUUAAAUUUAUCAUAUAUCUUUGAUUAAAUUUCGUGAUAUUAUAUUCUAUUAAACUGUGUUUCCUCUCUCAACUGUUUAAUAAUAGUAAAUUUAAACUAAUUUUGUUUUCUAAAUUAAAUAAUAGUAAAUUAAAUAAUAGAAUAUUUUUUGGUUAAAUAGUUACUUUAUCUAAAUAUUUUAGAUGUACUAAUUUAUUAUACUUAAAAACAAUCAAACUUUCUCUAAUUUCAUUAUUUACCAUAGAUUUCACCAUGCUAAAGUAAAAAAAAAACAAUUCUCUUUAAUUAUUUUCCAAAAAUUAUAAAAAAAAAAUAUGUUAUAAAUAAUUUUUUACCCGGUAUAUAAUAACUUAAGGAAAACAUACUUUAAACGGAGGAGGAAAUUUUCAUGUGAUUUUUGAACUUUAAAUCUUAAGGAAAAAACCCAUACCAAUUUUCUUUGAAUACAAAGAAAAAAAAAUUGACUACUCCAUUUUAUGUAUAGUUUAUAUGAUGUUUAAUUUAAAUAGAAACUAAAAUUAGGGAAAAUAUUUUUUGCAACAAUGACACUUUUUAAAAAAGAAAAUAAUACAUAUCUUAUAACUUACAACACAAUAUUACAAAUAAAAUAACUUUUAAAUGUUAAAUUAGAAAUUAAUAAAAAUGACACAUGUCAAGAAUAUAGAGCGCCAAAUGUUGCUUUGUGAGGCAAAGUUAGAAGAAACCUUGUCUUAUUAUAUAAGACUAGGUUCGGAUCCGCGCUACAGCGCGGGGGAAAUAAUUAACUAUAUAUAUAUAUUUUAGCGGAUUAGGAUACAUUACAUUUUAAUUUUAUUGCAAUGUAGUCGAUUACAGUGAAUUGUAUAUUUGUAUAAUAAGUUUAAAUAAAAUAAUAAACGAAAAAUUGAAUAAAUAAUAAUACAUUGAAUUUUGAUACAAUUAAAAAAACAGUGAAAAGUUAACAGCACAAAAAAAAAUUAUUCAAUUGACCCUUUUUGUAGUAAAAGUAGAAAUAUACGUAAAACUUUUCACCGUGUUUUUAAUAUUGGUCAUACUGAUUUUAAAUCAUUGUUCAGAAUAUUUAACCAAAUGUAGUUGAGUAUUAUACGCCCGUUUUGAAAAAUUCAAAUUGCAACAUAUGCAGAAAAAAUUAAAUUUUUAUUAAAUUUUUUUAUUAUAUAGUAUAAUAUCAUAAAUUUAAAAUAAUAUCAAAUAAAUGUCAAAGAAGAAUGAUAAUUGCUUUUAAUAUAUUAUAUUAAAUAGUUAGAGAAAUAUUAGGAAAUCAUAAAAUUAGUUAUGGAAAUAAUAUAAUCUUAAAAUUAGGUAUGGAAAGUAUCUCUCUCGUAUCUCUCUCGUAUCUCUCUCGUAUCUCUCUCGUGUAAGAAAAUAAAAAUAACUCUGAUUCGAUUAUAAGAAAUAAUUACCCCCAUUAAAUGAACCAAACGGAAGAGAAUAAGAGUAGUAAUAAUUAAUUACCUGGUUGAUUGAAGGCAAGAAUCGAUUUUUGGUAUCUUCGUCCUCCCAUUCAAGCUCAUUUAUCUGUUUUUGAGGAAGCAUAUGUAUUUCAAAGUCAUCAAGUCGUGGGACACUUGUAGCAUUUAAGGGAAGCUUUCUCAGCUUUGGACAAUCCCUUACACUUAUGCUCCUCAAAACCGGAAAGGGGAGAGGACUCCAGCAGAUACUCUCCAGCUUCGGCAAAUUUAUCAAAUAUAAGAAUUCUAGUUUCAGAAAUGGGAUAAUACCUUUGAAAUUGGUUGCUUUCUCUUUGUUUAUUAUUUCUCCCACUUCUCUUGAAUCUGUAAUCUGUAGGCCGACUAGAUUUGGAGCAAACAACAGCCAAGUCAGAUCCUUCAUGCUAUGGCACUUGCUUAUAUGCAGAUAUGAGAGGUUGGUAAAGCAUGGAAUUGUCGGAUUGUUAAUCUCCGAGACAUGGCUACUUAUCUCGACUGGCUUUUCAAUACUCUGGAGUGGCUUUUCUUGAAAAUCGAUAAUAUCCAUACUAGUUAUGCAGUUUGCCAACCUUUGAUUUCCAAAUAUUAGAUCCAAACUUAACUCCGCCGAUAGAGUUAUCCUUAGAUCUUGUAGAUUCUUCAAGAGCUGCAGCUCCUUUAAUAAACUAACAUCUCCAUGAACAUUAGACUUUCCCAGAUUCAACAAUCUUAAACUCAGCAACCUUGAUAUCCCUCUGAUACUAAAAAGUUUCUUUGUAUCAUAUAAAAUCAGGUGAGUUAGCCUUUUCAAUUCUUGGAGACCAACCGGCAGUUGCUCUAUACAUGUUUCCGACAAAUCAAGAAACUGCAAGGAGACCAGCUCUGAUAUCUGCUCUGGAAGUUCACCCAAUCUGUAAUUUUUUGAUAAAUCCAAGACAACUAGCUUUUGCAUUGACUGAAGGAAUUCACCUGAGAGAUUCUUCAAUUUAUUCUCUUGGAGGAACAGAGUUGUAAGUUCACAACAAUUGGAACGUCUGCAUGUUAUCUCUUCAAUUUUAUUAUUCAUUAGUGACAUUCUUCUCACAGCUCCCCAAUCCUUGACUUCUGGUAAUUCAACUAAUCCGACUCUUGCUCGCACAACAAAAGCCUCCUUCUGUUUCCCAAAAUCGGAUGCAAUCCACAGAGCCAUUUCACGAACCACAUCAUGCAUCAUAACACAACUUUCAUCAGACCGACUCCUGACUUCAGUUAGUAAGUUUGCACGGAUAAGGGUGCCGAGCAUCGUAUAACCCUUAUUCCUCGCUCUUUUAAUAUCCUCUUCUUCUCCGAUGAAUCCUUCGCAUAUCCAAUAGUUUAUCAAACUUCUUUUUUCUAUCUUAAAAUCUUCUGGAAACAGAGCACAAUACAAGAAACAGGACUUGAUAUUGUCAUCCAUCAAGCUAUCGUAACUGAACUUGAGAAUUGGAAGAAUAUUAUUUUCCAUGCCCGAAAACUCUGCAGCAGAUGUAGUCAAAACAUCGAUUGCAUGCUCCCAUUCUUGUACCAUAGUCUUAGAUGACAUCGCCUCACCAAUGACACUGAGCGCCAGUGGCAAACCAUGACAUUUUUCAGCAACUCUUUUUGCAAGCUCGACAGUUCCGGGAUCUUUUCUUAAUGAGUUCUCUCCCACUUUCUUUUUAAAUAAUUCCCAUGCUUCAUCUUCUUUCAAACAGUGGACUUCCAUGGGAUCAUCAUCUCCCAUCUGCCCACAUACUCCCCGAGAACGAGUGGUGAAUGCUACUUUGCAUCCAUUUUCUCUUGUUUGAGAUGGAAUUCCAAUGGCUUCUAAAUCCACUUUCUCCCAUAUAUCAUCUAGCAUCAAUACAAACCUCUUCCCCUGCAACUUUCUGUGUAUCUUAGUGGCCUUAUUACGUUCGUUUUUGUUCUUCCACUCGUCGUCACAAAGAUUUAAUAUUUCUGCAAUAUCGUCUUGAAUCUUCGAUUUCUGUGCGCCUUGCGACACCACGAUCCAUAUCACAACGUCGAACCGACCACUAAAUUCAGAGAGCUUAUUGUGGAUUUUCUUGAAAAGGGUAGUUUUACCGACACCGCCCAUACCGUGCAGACCCAUGAUUCCGACUCCAUCUUCCAUUAGGCGAUUCCACGCCUUCUUGAGCAUUUCUUCCUGACCAACCGUAGGGUAGCUAGGCAUCUCCUCCACUCCAUGAGAGUUUCUGUCGUUCCCACAUAAGUAACUAAAGAUACGUAUUACCGUUUGAUCAUCAAUAUUAUAAGUGAAAGAAAAACAAGUACCCAUAAAUUUGAUAAUAAAGAGAGAAAAGUUUCAGUAAGCAACAACGAAGCUCAAGAAGUGUUUUAGGUGAAAAAUUAUUGGAGAUAACAUCUUCUUGCUCCAAUACCAAUGGUUUAGAGAUUAUCAAAGAAAUUAAGAUAGAGACAUUGGCGUCGUUGAUUUCAGACCAUUCGGCUUCCAUGUGAUUACUCUUAUCUUUUUGGUGAGGUAGCUAAAGUCCAUACAAAUUAGUUUCUGGCAAUUAUAUUGGCAUCUAAUGACUUUUCAACUUUUCAAAGCUACGACUCGCUUUCAUUUUAGUUUAGAGUACACAGAGUAAAAAUUAGAAUCCUUUUUUUUUCUGAAUCCACAAGCAGAGUGAUAGAACCAAUAAUUAAGCCCUUUUGUCACUCUUAUAUCAAGUCUUGUAAGCACACAAAAAUAAAAUAAAUAACAUUGAAAUCAAAACGUUUAAAAUUAGGAAACUAAGUGCUAUUAAAGAAAUUAAGAAGACAAAAACAAUUUACUACAACUAAUAUUUUACCUGACAGUGGAGCCUAAGUUCAUACCUAGGCAUGCAACGGUAACUGAAAAAUGGAGAUAGAAAAGCUAACUGUAAUAAUGAAAAUGGAGUAAUUGGUCUGUUUUGAUUUUACAUGUUAAUACAUAGAUUAAUGGAGUUGAGAAUAGUGAGCUACAGUUCAAUUGCUAGAGACUACAGCACAAAUGUGGCCUAAACAAUACUACAGCUAGCACAAAUGGUUAAUUUAUUUUACAGUCUCUAGUUGAAAAAAAAAAGGAAUGACUUUGUCCCAUUCAAAAAAAAAAAGGAGUCAUUAAAAUAGAGAAAAAUAUAUAAAAGAAGCAACGUUCAUAUGUAGAAACUAAAAACUUUUGAAUGUAAUUAUAUUUCUCUGGAAAAUAAUAAGAAUGACUAUUUAAUAUAAUUUUUUUUUUUUAAAGGAGUCAUAAAAAUAGAGAAAAAUAUAUAAAAGAAGCAACGUUCAUAUGUAGAAACUAAAAACUUUUGAAUGUAAUUAUUUUUUUCUUGAAAAUAAGAAGAAAAAAGACCUUUGAAAUUUCAAUACGAGCGUGUGUGUUAAAGUGAUUCCACUUUCGUGCGACUGAAAAAAGUGUUCCACUUUCACUGCUGGUGACCUAAAAUGACGAUCGUAAACAAAAUGAGACGAUUCAAUUUUAUCAAAUUUACUAAUCAUUUAAAUGAUACCGUUUUUGAGAUAAUGAUUCGAAUCCAACCAAAUUAAAAUAAAGUCUUAAACUCAAUGGUAACGGUUAUAUAUAUAUCCAAUAAAGAUUUAUAGCAAACAUUACUAACUUCUCUAAAACCAUAUUCAUCAUUUGGUGUUUAAACUCUUAAACAUUACAAACAUUACUAACUUCUCUAUAACUUAUAAACAUUACUAACUCAUUUGGUGUUUAAACUCUCAUAUUCUUAGGAUAUAAAAAAUGAACAAAUAAAACAUAUUCAUCACUCCACAUAAAUUACAAAAUUUUAAUUAGCACAAAAAGAAGUACAUGAUCUUCCAAUGUUUUCAUGAAAAAAAAAAAAAGAAGAAGUACAUGAUCUUCAUGAAUUAGCAAAAUCAAAAGUUUUCAUCUUGAUCAUGUUAUAACCAUCACCCAAAUAUGUACGCUACAAGAUGAAAGAGAAAGCAACUAGUACAACCCAAAAUCAUAAUCCAAUAUAAGUAAUACAAUACAAAAAUGAAAAAUAUAUAAUCCAAGAGAACAACACACACUCCAGAAUAGAACACAACACAGUACUACAAGAAGAAAGAAAGCAAUAUUCAUCAUACUACCUAGAUCUAGUUUUUGUGGCAUGCAUCUCUUUCUGAAUAUAAUAAAUACUCUGAUUGAGCCAGCCACUUGGAUUUAGACAUUGUCUCUUAACUAAAAUAAUCACAAAGAUGCUGCAAGAUGAAAGAGUAAAGCAAACGAUACAAUCAAAUAAGAAAAUAGUAGUAGAAGAAGAAGAAGAAGCGUGGAUUCUGGUUUUAGACAGAAUCUAUGACCACAUACCGUGCAAUAUGCUGAGGAGAAAAAUGAAAGAAUGUUAGUAACAGUUUUUGUGGAAAGCAUUGAAAUUGAUAGGCACAACAAGUUCUCUAUUAUCUCUCUCGUGUAAGAAAAUAAAAAUAACUCUGAUUCGAUUACAAGAAAUGAACCAAACAUAAGAGAAUGACGAGUAAUAAUUAAUUACCUGUCCUAUGGAAGGCAUGAAUCGAUUUUUGGUAUCUUGGUCCUCCCAUUCAAGGUCAUACAUCUGUUUUGGAUCCAGCAUAUGUAUUCCAAAUUCAUCAAGUCGUGGGACACUUGUAGCAUUUAAGGGCAGCUUUCUCAGCUUUGGACAAUCCCUUACACUUAUGCGCCUCAAAAAUGGAAAGGGGAGAGGACUCCAGCAGAUACUCUCAAGCUUCGGCAAAUCUUCCAAACCUAAGUAUUCUAGUUUCAGAAAUGGUGUAAUACCUUUAAAAUUGGUUGCUUUCUCUUCGUUUAUUAUUUCUUCCACUUCUCUUGAAUCUUCAAUCUCUAGGGAGACAAGAUUUGGAGCAAACAAUACCCAACUCAGAUCCUUCAUGCUAUGCCACUUGUUUAUAUUCACGGCGAUGAGGUUGGUAAAGCAUGGAAUUGUCCGAUUGUUAAUCUCCGAGACAUGGCUACUUAUCGCCCAUAGGCUAAGAAGAUUCUCAAUACUCUGGAGUGGCUUUUCUUGAAAAUCGAUAAUAUCCAUAGUAGUUAUGCAGUUUGCCAACCUUUGAUUUCCUAAUAUUAGCUCCAAACUUAACUCCGCCGAUAGAGUUAUCCUUAAAUCUUGUAGAUUCUUCAAGAGCUGCAGCUCCUUUAAUAAACUAGCAUCUCCAUGAACUUUAGAGCUUACCAGAUUCAACAUUCUUAAACUCAGCAACCUUGAUAUCCCACUGAUACUACAAAGUUUAUUUGUAAAAAAUAAACCUAGGUAAGUUAGCUUUUUCAAUUCUUGGAGACCAACCGGUAGUUGCUCUAUACCUGUUUCCGACAAAUCAAGAAACCGCAAGGAGACCAGCUCUGAUAUCUGCUCUGGAAGUUCACUCAAGUCGAUAUUAUACGAUAAAUCCAAAACAACUAGCUUUUUCAUAGACUGAAGGAAUUCACCAGAGAGAUUCUUCAAUUUAUUCUCUUGGAGGAACAGAGUUGUAAGUUCACAACAAUUGGAACGUCUGCAUGUUAUCUCUUCAAUUUUAUUAUUCAUUAGUGACAUUCUUCUCACAGCUCCCCAAUCCUUGACUUCUGGUAAUUCAACUAAUCCGACUCUUGCUCGCACAACAAAAGCCUCCUUCUGUUUCCCAAAAUCGGAUGCAAUCCACAGAGCCAUUUCGCGAACCACGUCAUGCAUCAUAACACAACUUUCACCAUACCGACUCCUAACUUCAGUUAGUAAGUUUGCACGGAUAAGGGUGCCGAGCAUCGUAUAACCCUUAUUCCUCGCUCUUUUAAUAUCCUCUUCUUCUCCGAUGAAUCCUUCGCAUAUCCAAUAGUUUAUCAAACUUCUUUUUUCUAUCUUAAAAUCUUCUGGAAACAGAGCACAAUACAAGAAACAGGACUUGAUAUUGUCAUCCAUCAAGCUAUCGUAACUGAACUUGAGAAUUGGAAGAAUAUUAUUUUCCAUGCCCGAAAACUUUGCAGCAGAUGUAGUCAAAACAUCGAUUGCAUGCUCCCAUUCUUGUACUGUAUUUUUAGAUGACAUUGCUUUACCAAUGAUACUAAGCGCCAGUGGCAAACCAUCGCAUUUUUCAGCAACCUUUUUGGCUAGCUCGACGGUUCCGGGAUCACUUCUUAAGGUAUUGUCUCCGACCUUGGUUUUAAACAGUUCCCAUGCUUCAUCUCGUUUCAAACAAUUGACUUGCAUAGGUUCAUGGUCCCCCAUCCGUCCACAUACUUCCCGGGAACGAGUGGUGAAUGCUACUUUGCAUCCAUUUUCUCUGGUUGGAAACGGUACUCCGAUGGCUUCUAAAUCCACUUCCUCCCAUAUAUCAUCUAGCAUCAAAACAAAUCUCUUCCCCUUUAAAACAGUGUGUAUCUUAGUGGCCUUAUCAAUGUCAUUCUUGUUCUUCCACUCGUCGCCACAAAGAUGUAGCUUUUCUGCAAUAUCUUCUUGAAGCUUUGAUAUCGUUGCACCUUGAGAUACCACGAUCCAGAUCACAACAUCAAAAGUACUAUUUAAGAGCUUAUUGUGGAUUUUUUUGAAAAGGGUAGUUUUACCCACACCACCCAUACCGUGCAGUCCCAAGAUUCCAACUCCAUCUUCCAUUAAGCGUUUCCAGGCCUUCUCAAACAUUUCUUCCUGACCAACCGUAGGCUGAGUAGGCAUCUCCUCCACUCCAGGAGAGUCUCUGUUGAUGAUCCCACAUAAUAAACUAUAUAAUUUUAUUAGAUCAUCAACAGUAAACUGGAAAGAACAACAAUUCCCCAUAAAUUUGAUAAAUAAAGAGAGAAAAGUUUCAGUAAGCAACAACGAAGCUAGCUAAAGCUGAAGUAGAAGAAGUGUUUUAGGUGACAAAAUAUUGGAGAUAACAUCGUCUUGCUACAAUACCAAUGGUUUAGAGAUUAUCAAAGAAAAUAAUUAAGAUAGAGAAAGACAUUGGCGUCGUUGUUUUCAGACCACUCGGUUUACAAAUUAGUUUCUAUUGACUUUUCAAAGUGACGACUCGCUUUCAUUUUAGUAUAGACUAUAUUGAGUAAAAAAUUAAAAUCUUUCUUUCUGAACCCACAAGCAGAGUGAUCGAACCAAUAAUUACGCCAUUUUGUUACUCUUGUAUCAAGUCUCGUAAGCACACAAAAAAAAAAACAUUGAAAUCAAAACAUUUUCAAAAUAGGAAACAAUUAAGAAGACUAUUAGGGGAUAAGUACAUAUAUUAUCAUAUACUUAUAUUUGUAUGGCGACAAAAAAAAUAAAAAAUACUUAUAUUUGUAUUAGGAUAAAGACCAAAACAAUUGACUAAAACUAGUAUUAUACCUGACAGUGGAGCCUGAGUUCAUACCUAGGCAUGCAACGGUAACUGAAAAUGUAGAUAGAAAAGCUAAUUGUAAUAAUAAAAAAAUGGAGUAAUUGGUUUGUUAAUACAUUAAUGAUUUGUGAUUUUACAUGUUAAUACAUUAAUGGAGUUGAGAAUAGUGAGCUACAUUUCAAUUGCUAGAUGUUCAGUUCAGAUUUUAGAUGAUUUGGAAUUGGUUCAAGUAACACUACAGCACAAAUGUGGCCUAAACAAAACUACAGCACACAUGGUUAAAAAAAUUUUAAGUCUCUAGUUGAAAAAUAAAAAAAUGACUAUUUAAUAUAAAAUUCAAAAAAAAGGAGUCAUAAAAAUAGAGAAAAAUAUAUAAAAUAAAAGAAGCAACGUUCAUAUGUAGAAACUAAAAACUUUUCAAUGUAAUUAUUUUUCUCUUGAAAAUAAGAAGAAAAAAAACCUUUGAAAUUUCAAUGCGAGUGUGUGUGUUAAAGUGAUUCCACUUUCGUGCGACUGAAAAAAAGUGUUCCACUUUCACUGCUGGUGACCUAAAAUGACGAUCUUAAACAAAAUGUGACGAUUCAAUUUUAUAAAAUUUACUAAUCAUUUAAAUGAUACCGUUUUUGAGAUAAUGAUUCGAAUUCAACCAAAUUAAAAAAUUCUUACUAAAUGGUAACGGUUAUAUAUUCAUCAAAGAUUUAUAGCAAACAUUACUAACUUCUCUAAAACCAUAUUCAUCAUUUGGUGUUUAAACUCUUAAACAUUACAAACAUUACUAACUUCUCUAAAACUUAUAAACAUUACUAACUCAUUUGGUGUUUAAACUCUCAUAUUCUUAGGAUAUAAAAAAAGAACAAAUAAAACCAUAUUCAUCAUUCCACAGAAAUUACAAAAUUUUAAUUACCACAAAAAGAAGAACACACAAAUGAAUUACGGAGGUAACGUAAUUUAGUAGCUUUUACGAAUUUUACAAAAUCAAACGUCAAAAUGUGAAAAAAAAAAAAAAAUCCCCGGAAUAUUCGUUUUAUUUUUCUUCAGAGAAAUAUGAAACACUCUAACGAAACUAGAGGGUUCUCUAACAAUUCCUCAGUGGUAUAACCGUAAUUCUCAUGCUGCUCUUGAUCCAACCCGUUUUUAUUCGGAUCUUGCCUAACCCGACCCGGGGACUGAUUAUUCUUCCUAGUCCUCGCCCCACCCACCCGACUAUUCUGAUUCGGAUCCAUCACCGAUCUGUUCGUCGCCGGCGAUCUCGACCUUCUCCCGGAUCUCUCACCCGGGUCUCUCACACCCGACCCGUAUCUCGCUCCGUUACACGUACUGUUGUUUCUCUUACGUGGAGACUGAUCAGUCCUCCGGGUCGGGUAAUUAUUAUUACCCGUGACCCGGGUCCGAGUCUUCGCCGGAGAUCUCUGAGUCUUCCUCUGUUUCAUCAUCACGUCUUCCUCAUCGUAGCUAUUAAUCACAACCGUCGAAGACACACUCUCACUCAAACUCAAGCUACAAACCUCCGAAACCUCCGAGCCUUCUUCAUGAUCAGUCGAACCGGGUCGGAUCGUAACCGGGUCUGAAACCAUUUUCAAGAAGCCUUGUUUUAUCUUCUCCUCAUCUUCUCGGAUCUUGGUCUUCACCGGAUCUUUGAUCGUCGAAGUGUGCAUAUUAGUAGAAGUAGUGAGCAAAGUUGUCUCAGACAAGACUUCUUUAACUACUGUCUCUUCUUCGACAAUGGUCGUGUUCUUGUCGGAAACGUUCUCGUUUUCACGAUCAGUGGUGCCGGGGCUGAAGCAGCAAUUACCCAUUAGAGAGAAUGAGAAGCGACGACGUAGUUUGAUCGGAGAUUAGAGAGUAGCAGUAGUAGUAGUAAUAACUCUUCUGGUUGUGUUAUAAUUGUGUGGUGACAGCAGAGGAUGAUUGUGAUGAAGUAAGAGUAUUUAUUGUUAAUAUUUUUUUUUUGGGACAGUUGAUAAUAAUAAUAAUGUGUAAAAAGAUAAAUAAUACAACUACCCCUUAAAGUCUCUUUAGUUUUAUAAUGAUUUCAAAUAGUAAUUAUGUCUGUUGAAUAAACUUAAAACCCCCAUGCAAAUUUCAAUUUUUCUUGAUAUAUAAUGACGUUAAUAAAGUUAUGAUAACUUUUUAGACAAGUAAAUUUUAAAAAAUCUUUACACAAGAUGAGUUGUUAAUUAUGUACUUACGACAAAAAAAAGAAGUGACGUAAUUAGAUCCUUUCGGGAAGGAUUUACUAGUGGAGUUUUUUGUUUAUUGUUUUCAAAUUUGAUUGGAUCCAAAAAUCUAUAGAAAAAAUAUUGUAGUUGUUGUUUUAAAAAAAGUUGUAAAUUUAAUUUCUAGUCACAUGACUCACAUGCAUAAAAAUGGCUAUAGAUCUAAAACAAGCCAUCUCCCAAAGAGUUCAUUGAACUAAACAUUUGAUUUUGCCUAACAUUUUUAAGCUUCCGGGCAAAGUACAAAAGCAGACGUAGUUUAUUUAGGCUUUGAAUGGCAAAACAUGUUAAGCAGAGCAGAUCAAGUAUUUUAGGCAGAUCUAACAAAAAAAAGCAGAUCAAACAGAUUUGACAGUUCAAGUGCAGAUCAAAUAUUAAACACUUUAAAAUAGAGGUGUUUGAUCUGCUUUGAAAAAACAUGACUAUAAAAUAAUUUUUUCUUUUUUUUUUGGUCCACCUACAGAUUUUUAGCAGGAAAACUGCCUUUAUAAAUGAUAAUUAUUAAUUUUGAUGAAUGGUGAACAAAGUGCAGUUUAUCUGUCCCACUAUAUAUCUGCUUUAUAUCUGUCUUUCCAUUCAAACCCUUAGUUCUGUAAGACUGUAACAAUUCAAUUCAUGAAACAGCAGAGCUGACACACUAAUUUGGAGUUUUUUUGGAGGACCUGAUUAUAUAUAAAGAGAAUGUUUGUUUUUACUUAGGCAGUGAUAAUUACGAAGGUGAGAGACUUAUGUCAGAGAUCUGAAAUCGUAUCAUAACGUAAGCUAGCCCUGGGCAAAAAGCCCGUACCCGAAGCCCAUACCCGAACCCGGCCCGUUAGGCCCGUACCGAACCCGAACCCGAUUAAAGAGGAUACCCGAUCGGGUUUUGGUUUUGAAACUUCCGGGUUCGGGUCCGGGUUCGGGUAAACCCGAAGACCCGACCAUACCCGAUUAAACCUGAUUUCAUUCAUGCCUUUGUAAUUUUGUUGAUCGAUUAAGAUUUCAUUGCCCAGAAACAGAAUCGAUUUGCUUCCAUACAACAAACAAACUGGAUUCACAUCCCAGAGAUGCUCCUCCUCCCUCUGAGUUUUCAACAAAUAAUUCUGAGGUGAGUUUUCUAGUUUGUCUAUGUCUUUCUCUCUCGUACGUCUCUCUCUAGCACCAUGUUUAUUGAAUUCAGUGUGUUCUGCGUUUUUUGUUUUUGUUCUUACUUCUUAGUAUUGAAGCGUCUGUUGUUAGUUUGAUUUAUAAAGCGUGUGUUCUUAGUAGCGUUUUAGUGAAGUCAGUCUUGGAAUCGUGUGUUCUUAUAUAAUGGAGUGAUUGGAAUCAUGUGUUCUUAUAUAUGAUUUGUGUUCUUAUAUAUGUUCUCUGUAACUCUUCUGGUUUCUAUGUUUAGACCCUUUUGUAGAUGAUCUUCUUGUUCUGUAAUCUGUAUCACAUUUAUCAAAUGAUUCUGUCAGAAAAAAAAAUGUGACUAUGACUAACCUUCAUGUUCCGGCCGAAGAGAUGCCUUUUUUGAUAUAAUAUAGUAUAGAGCUUGUGUGAUAUUCGCUUCUGUAUAUUUCUGGUGGGUCAAAUGUAGAUCUGUCCUAAAUGUGUCAAACAGAUUCUUUCUUACACAUAUAAAUAUAUAAUUAGAGAGUUUGGAUCACUAGAUGAAGACAAGAGAUGACUUGGGAAACUAAAGAAGAUAUAAGUGUUUAAAAUAAUUUGUUUGACUCAUGAACGUGUGUAAGGAAGCUCAUGCUUCUUUGAGACAACUCAUGAACGUGGCAUUGUACCAAAGUAGGUUUAUAUACAUACACAUGCUUCUUUGAGUUGUGGGUUCUAGCUCUACUUCGUAUCAAGACAUUGUUGCCAUUACCCGCAGCCACACACUUGUAUGUUUAAGUCAUUUAAUUUUUCAUCUCUUCUUUAUAGAUUGCAUGAAUCUUAUUAGGACACAUUUAGGGGAAGAGUAUGUGAGUUCCCUGUCGUGAAUGGUGUUCAAUAUAAAGGAGAUGGUUAUACUUCCUGCAAGCGUAUGUUUUUGUAAGUCUUCUUGUUUUUUUUUUUUUCUAUUUUCUCUCAUUGUACACUUUUGUUCAGUGAUCUUAUAAAUUUCUCUUUAUCUUGUUCUUGGUCCAGCUUAUGGACCUGCAAGAUGUUCAAUGAACGAUGGAGGCUGCUGGUCUGAAACUAGAAAGGGUCUAACUUUCUCUGCUUGUUUGGUUAAGUGACUAAUGCUUUUUCUUCCUCUUUGCUAAAGUUUGAUUUUUUUUUUCUGACUUUCUAUGUAUUUGAUAUAGAACUCGGGAACAUCAUGAUGUCGUUGCCCUUUAGGCUUCCAUGGAGAUGGUCUGAACCAAGGCGAUAAGUAAAUAAGAAUAGUUGUUAUUAAGAACCCGAAACAAAACCGAACCCGAACCCGAAAAACCCGAUCUGAACCCGAGCCCGCCCGAAGAUAUAUAUAUAUCCGAAUGGGCUUUAGAGGUCUAAACCCGAAAACCCGAAAACCCGAAAAGCCCGGCCCGACCCCGAACGGGCCCCCGAACGCCCAGGGCUAACGUAAGCCGAAUCUUUUGACCAGAAAAAAAACAUGUAAGACGAAUCUAAAAAGUGGACAGAUCUAGUUCUCGAUUAUAGCAUAUUCAUGACCACUUCAGUUCCUGACAAAUCUUGAAUACAUAUAUAAGUAAGCCACGGUUUUUGCAGUUUGGUUCCUCUAAUUCUGGUGUAGCCGAUAGGUAUAUGGUCUCCUAGCAUCAACACAGAGACCCCUUUUGAGUACAUACCUAUCUGCAAAUC